ACGAGGAUAACGACUGGAAACGGUACGCUAAAACUGGAUAGGAUCAUUUGAGGCAUCUCGAAUGAUUUAAAGGGGCUUCAAGCCACACUUAGAGAAAGGCCUGCGGCGCAGUUAGCUAGGUUGGUGGGGUAGAGGCCUACCAAGGCGAUGAUGCGUAGCCGGACUGAGAGGUCGAACGGCCACAUUGGGACUGAGACACGGCCCAAACUCCUACGGGAGCAGCAGUAGGGAAUUUUCGGCAAUGGGGGAAACCCUGACCGAGCAACGCCGCGUGAAUGAAAGACGUAUUUCGGUAUGUAAAGUUCUUUUAUUAAGGAAGAAUAUCACGGAUAGGAAAUGAUCUGUGAGUGACGGUACUUAAUGAAUAAGCCCCGGCUAACUAUGUGCCAGCCGCCGC
RNAcentral lists this ribosomal RNA (397 nucleotides) under uncultured bacterium. RNAcentral's name for it is "bacterial SSU rRNA". It matches the Rfam family "Bacterial small subunit ribosomal RNA", at positions 137 to 518 of the family's 1533-position model. The record is from RNAcentral.